CUACUCCUACGGGAGGCAGCAGUGGGGAAUAUUGCACAAUGGGCGGAAGCCUGAUGCAGGACGCCGCGUGAGGGAUGACGGCCUUCGGGUUGUAAACCUCUUUCAGUAGGGAAGAAGCGAAAGUGACGGUACCUGCAGAAGAAGCGCCGGCUAACUACGUGCCAGCAGCCGCGGUAAUACGUAGGGCGCAAGCGUUAUCCGGAAUUAUUGGGCGUAAAGAGCUCGUAGGCGGUUUGUCGCGUCUGCCGUGAAAGUCCGGGGCUCAACUCCGGAUCUGCGGUGGGUACGGGCAGACUAGAGUGAUGUAGGGGAGACUGGAAUUCCUGGUGUAGCGGUGAAAUGCGCAGAUAUCAGGAGGAACACCGAUGGCGAAGGCAGGUCUCUGGGCAUUAACUGACGCUGAGGAGCGAAAGCAUGGGGAGCGAACAGGAUUAGAUACCCUGGUAGUCCAUGCCGUAAACGUUGGGCACUAGGUGUGGGGGACAUUCCACGUUUUCCGCGCCGUAGCUAACGCAUUAAGUGCCCCGCCUGGGGAGUACGGCCGCAAGGCUAAAACUCAAAGGAAUUGACGGGGGCCCGCACAAGCGGCGGAGCAUGCGGAUUAAUUCGAUGCAACGCGAAGAACCUUACCAAGGCUUGACAUGAACCGGUAAGACCUGAAACCAGGCCCCCCAAC
RNAcentral lists this ribosomal RNA (676 nucleotides) under Arthrobacter sp. Its description in RNAcentral is "bacterial SSU rRNA". It matches the Rfam family "Bacterial small subunit ribosomal RNA", at positions 333 to 1019 of the family's 1533-position model. Lineage: Bacteria; Bacillati; Actinomycetota; Actinomycetes; Micrococcales; Micrococcaceae. The record is from RNAcentral.